Non-coding RNA from Monopterus albus (swamp eel), 70 nucleotides. NCBI's taxonomy places the organism in Eukaryota, Metazoa, Chordata, Actinopteri, Synbranchiformes, Synbranchidae. The record is from Ensembl.
AGCAAGGUCAGCUAAAACUAAGCUAUUGGGCCCAUACCCCAAAAAUGAAGAUUAACCCCUUCCCAUGCAA